RNAcentral lists this ribosomal RNA (475 nucleotides) under uncultured bacterium. RNAcentral describes it as "partial 16S ribosomal RNA". It matches the Rfam family "Bacterial small subunit ribosomal RNA", at positions 28 to 523 of the family's 1533-position model. The record is from RNAcentral.
GGUGAACGCUGGCGGCGUGCUUAAGACAUGCAAGUCGAACGCAGUCUUCGGACUGAGUGGCGCACGGGUGAGUAACACGUAACUGACCUACCCCCAAGUCGCGGAUAACUGGCCGAAAGGUCAGCUAAUACGUGAUGUGAUGUCCCCUUUCUGGGGGGCCAUUAAAGGUUUACUGCUUGGGGAUGGGGUUGCGUUCCAUCAGCUAGUUGGCGGGGUAAAGGCCCACCAAGGCAACGACGGAUAGCCGGCCUGAGGGGGUGGCCGGCCACAGGGGCACUGAGACACGGGUCCCACUCCUACGGGAGGCAGCAGUUAGGAAUCUUCCACAAUGGGCGAAAGCCUGAUGGAGCGACGCCGCGUGAGGGAUGAAGGUUCUCGGAUCGUAAACCUCUGAAUCAGGGACGAAAGACGCGUAAGCGGGAUGACGGUACCUGAGUAAUAGCACCGGCUAACUCCGUGCCAGCAGCAGCCGCAG